UACGAAGGGGGCUAGCGUUGCUCGGAAUCACUGGGCGUAAAGGGUGCGUAGGCGGGUCUUUAAGUCAGGGGUGAAAUCCUGGAGCUCAACUCCAGAACUGCCUUUGAUACUGAGGAUCUUGAGUUCGGGAGAGGUGAGUGGGAACUGCGAGUGUAGAGGUGAAAUUCGUAGAUAUUCGCAAGAACACCAGUGGCGAAGGCGGACUCACUGGCCCGA
This 216-nucleotide ribosomal RNA is filed under the name uncultured bacterium. RNAcentral's name for it is "partial 16S ribosomal RNA". It matches the Rfam family "Bacterial small subunit ribosomal RNA", at positions 524 to 737 of the family's 1533-position model. The record is from RNAcentral.